AGUCAAGUAAUUAAGUGCAUGUGGUGGAUGCCUUGGCAGUCAGAGGCGAUGAAAGACGUGAUAGCCUGCGAAAAGCUCCGGGGAGGCGGCAAAUAUCCUUUGAUCCGGAGAUGUCUGAAUGGGGGAACCCACCUACUUUAAGGUAGGUAUUGCAACAUGAAUACAUAGUGUUGCAAGGCGAACGAGGGGAAGUGAAACAUCUCAGUACCCUUAGGAAAAGAAAUCAAUUGAGAUUCCCUCAGUAGCGGCGAGCGAACGGGGAUCAGCCCAUUAAGUUAUGUGUGUUUUAGUGGAACGCUCUGGGAAGUGCGAACGUAGAGGGUGAUAUUCCCGUACACGAAAGGGCACACAUAAUGAUGACGAGUAGGGCGAGGCACGUGAAACCUUGUCUGAAUAUGGGGGGACCAUCCUCCAAGGCUAAAUACUCCUGACUGACCGAUAGUGAACCAGUACCGUGAGGGAAAGGCGAAAAGAACCCCUGUGAGGGGAGUGAAAUAGAUCCUGAAACCGCAUGCAUACAAGCAGUGGGAGCACCUUCGUGGUGUGACUGCGUACCUUUUGUAUAAUGGGUCAGCGACUUAUAUUCAGUAGCGAGGUUAACCGUAUAGGGGAGCCGUAGAGAAAUCGAGUCUUAAUAGGGCGUUUAGUUGCUGGGUAUAGACCCGAAACCAGGCGAUCUAUCCAUGAGCAGGUUGAAGGUUGGGUAACACUAACUGGAGGACCGAACCCACUGUCGUUGAAAAGCCAGGGGAUGACUUGUGGAUAGGGGUGAAAGGCUAAUCAAGCCUGGUGAUAGCUGGUUCUCCCCGAAAGCUAUUUAGGUAGCGCCUCGGACGAAUACCAUAGGGGGUAGAGCACUGUUUCGGCUAGGGGGUCAUCCCGACUUACCAAACCGAUGCAAACUCCGAAUACCUAUGAGUACUAUCCGGGAGACAGACUGCGGGUGCUAACGUCCGUAGUCAAGAGGAAACAAUCCAGACCGCCAGCUAAGGCCCCAAAAUCAUAGUUAAGUGGGAAACGAUGUGGGAAGGCAUAGACAGCUAGGAGGUUGGCUUAGAAGCAGCCACCCUUUAAAGAAAGCGUAAUAGCUCACUAGUCGAGUCGGCCUGCGCGGAAGAUGUAACGGGGCUAAAACUAUGUGCCGAAGCUGCGGAUGUAUACUUUGUAUACGUGGUAGGGGAGCGUUCUGUAAGCCGAUGAAGGUGUGUUGAGAAGCAUGCUGGAGGUAUCAGAAGUGCGAAUGCUGACGUGAGUAACGACAAAACGGGUGAAAAACCCGUUCGCCGAAAGACCAAGGGUUCCAGUCCAACGUUAAUCGGGGCUGGGUGAGUCGACCCCUAAGGCGAGGCCGAAAGGCGUAGUCGAUGGGAAAAUGGUUAAUAUUCCAUUACUUCUGUGUAAUGCGAUGAGAGGACGGAGAAGGCUAAAUCAGCCUGGCGUUGGUUGUCCAGGUGAAAGGAUGUAGGCAUGUAUCUUAGGCAAAUCCGGGGUACUCUAUGCUGAGAUCUGAUAGCAAGCUGUACUUGUACAGCGAAGUGGUUGAUGCCAUGCUUCCAGGAAAAGUCUCUAAGCUUCAGUUACACAGGAAUCGUACCCGAAACCGACACAGGUGGUCAGGUCGAGUAGACCAAGGCGCUUGAGAGAACUCUGCUGAAGGAACUAGGCAAAAUGGUACCGUAACUUCGGGAGAAGGUACGCUGUUGUUGGUGAUGGAACUCGCUUCCUGAGCUGACGACAGCCGCAGAAACCAGGCCGCUGCAACUGUUUAUUAAAAACAUAGCACUCUGCAAACACGAAAGUGGACGUAUAGGGUGUGAUGCCUGCCCGGUGCUGGAAGGUUAAUUGAUGGGGUUAGCGUAAGCGAAGCUCUUGAUCGAAGCCCCAGUAAACGGCGGCCGUAACUAUAACGGUCCUAAGGUAGCGAAAUUCCUUGUCGGGUAAGUUCCGACCUGCACGAAUGGCAUAAUGAUGGCGGCGCUGUCUCCAGCAGAGGCUCAGUGAAAUCGAAAUCGCUGUGAAGAUGCAGUGUACCCGCGGCUAGACGGAAAGACCCCGUGAACCUUUACUGCAGCUUGACACUGAACUUUGACCUUACUUGUGUAGGAUAGGUGGGAGGCUUUGAAGCUGGAACGCUAGUUCCAGUGGAGCCGUCCUUGAAAUACCACCCUGGUAAUGUUGAGGUUCUAACUCUGUCCCGUGAUCCGGGACGAGGACCGUGUCUGGUGGGUAGUUUGACUGGGGCGGUCUCCUCCUAAAGAGUAACGGAGGAGUACGAAGGUGCGCUCAGCGUGGUCGGAAAUCACGCGUAGAGUAUAAAGGCAAAAGCGCGCUUAACUGCGAGACCCACAAGUCGAGCAGGUACGAAAGUAGGUCUUAGUGAUCCGGUGGUUCUGUAUGGAAGGGCCAUCGCUCAACGGAUAAAAGGUACUCUGGGGAUAACAGGCUGAUACCGCCCAAGAGUUCAUAUCGACGGCGGUGUUUGGCACCUCGAUGUCGGCUCAUCUCAUCCUGGGGCUGAAGCAGGUCCCAAGGGUAUGGCUGUUCGCCAUUUAAAGAGGUACGCGAGCUGGGUUUAGAACGUCGUGAGACAGUUCGGUCCCUAUCUACCGUGGGCGCUGGAAAUUUGAGAGGAUCUGCUCCUAGUACGAGAGGACCAGAGUGGACGAACCUCUGGUGUACCGGUUGUGACGCCAGUCGCAUCGCCGGGUAGCUAUGUUCGGAAGGGAUAACCGCUGAAAGCAUCUAAGCGGGAAGCCUACCUCAAGAUAAGAUUUCCCUAGGACUUUAUGUCCUCUAAAGAGCCGUUCGAGACUAGGACGUUGAUAGGUUGGAUGUGGAAGCAUAGUGAUAUGUGAAGCUGACCAAUACUAAUUGCUCGUGAGGCUUGACUAUACAACACCC
This 2901-nucleotide ribosomal RNA is filed under the name Acinetobacter baumannii IS-123. RNAcentral describes it as "bacterial LSU rRNA". It matches the Rfam family "Bacterial large subunit ribosomal RNA". The record is from RNAcentral. Lineage: Bacteria; Pseudomonadati; Pseudomonadota; Gammaproteobacteria; Moraxellales; Moraxellaceae.